UAACCUGCCCAAGAGAUCGGGAUAACACCUGGAAACAGAUGCUAAUACCGGAUAACAACAGAUGAUGCCUAUCAAUUGUUUAAAAGAUGGUUCUGCUAUCACUCUUGGAUGGACCUGCGGUGCAUUAGCUAGUUGGUAGGGUAACGGCCUACCAAGGCGAUGAUGCAUAGCCGAGUUGAGAGACUGAUCGGCAACAUUGGGACUGAGACACGGCCCAAACUCCUACGGGAGGCAGCAGUC
Molecule: ribosomal RNA, 240 nt
Filed under: uncultured Lactobacillus sp.
Lineage: Bacteria; Bacillati; Bacillota; Bacilli; Lactobacillales; Lactobacillaceae
Description: partial 16S ribosomal RNA
Rfam family: Bacterial small subunit ribosomal RNA
Source: RNAcentral